UUUGAGAAUUGAACUAGAAGC
RNAcentral lists this microRNA (21 nucleotides) under Brachypodium distachyon (stiff brome). RNAcentral describes it as "bdi-miR5185f-3p". The record is from miRBase by way of RNAcentral. Lineage: Eukaryota; Viridiplantae; Streptophyta; Magnoliopsida; Poales; Poaceae.